GUGCUUCAGCAGCACAUAUCCUAAAAUUGGAAUGAUACAGAAAAGAUUCCAUAGCCCCU
Molecule: small nuclear RNA, 59 nt
Filed under: Cebus imitator (Panamanian white-faced capuchin)
Lineage: Eukaryota; Metazoa; Chordata; Mammalia; Primates; Cebidae
Source: RNAcentral